This 253-nucleotide ribosomal RNA is filed under the name uncultured bacterium. RNAcentral describes it as "partial 16S ribosomal RNA". It matches the Rfam family "Bacterial small subunit ribosomal RNA", at positions 524 to 776 of the family's 1533-position model. The record is from RNAcentral.
UACGUAGGGUGCAAGCGUUAAUCGGAAUUACUGGGCGUAAAGCGUGCGCAGGCGGUUAUGCAAGACCGAGGGGAAAUCCCCGGGCUCAACCUGGGAACUGCCUUUGUGACUGCAUGGCUAGAGUACGGUAGAGGGGGAUGGAAUUCCGCGUGUAGCAGUGAAAUGCGUAGAUAUGCGGAGGAACACCGAUGGCGAAGGCAAUCCCCUGGACCUGUACUGACGCUCAUGCACGAAAGCGUGGGGAGCAAACAGG